AUUGAACGCUGGCGGCAUGCCUUACACAUGCAAGUCGAACGGCAGCACGGGUGCUUGCCCCUGGUGGCGAGUGGCGAACGGGUGAGUAAUACAUCGGAACAUGUCCUGUAGUGGGGGAUAGCCCGGCGAAAGCCGGAUUAAUACCGCAUACGAUCUACGGAUGAAAGCGGGGGACCUUCGGGCCUCGCGCUAUAGGGUUGGCCGAUGGCUGAUUAGCUAGUUGGUGGGGUAAAGGCCUACCAAGGCGACGAACAGUAGCUGGUCUGAGAGGACGACCAGCCACACUGGGACUGAGACACGGCCCAGACUCCUACGGGAGGCAGCAGUGGGGAAUUUUGGACAAUGGGCGAAAGCCUGAUCCAGCAAUGCCGCGUGUGUGAAGAAGGCCUUCGGGUUGUAAAGCACUUUUGUCCGGAAAGAAAUCCUUGGCCCUAAUACGGUCGGGGGAUGACGGUACCGGAAGAAUAAGCACCGGCUAACUACGUG
Molecule: ribosomal RNA, 486 nt
Filed under: uncultured bacterium
Lineage: Bacteria
Description: partial 16S ribosomal RNA
Rfam family: Bacterial small subunit ribosomal RNA
Source: RNAcentral